AAUAAUCCUAACAAACCAUGGUAGUUUACUGUAGGCUUCGUCAUUCUAUAAUGAUUGAGAAAUGGUAGGUAGAAUUUCGAUAGCGAAUUGAGGAUAGCAUCUUUGCCUAACUAUUUAUGCAAUGGAAAGUCAAGUUUGCUAAGGCGUUUAAUCUACUCAAUCAUGUAUAUUAUAUGAUCGGUACUGAAGCUUCCUCUCACAUACGGGCAUUGAACACUGCACAAG
RNAcentral lists this long non-coding RNA (225 nucleotides) under Elaeis guineensis (African oil palm). Its description in RNAcentral is "long non-coding RNA (EGUI_LNC044439)". Lineage: Eukaryota; Viridiplantae; Streptophyta; Magnoliopsida; Arecales; Arecaceae. The record is from RNAcentral.